Mobula hypostoma (lesser devil ray) is the source of this 484-nucleotide long non-coding RNA. RefSeq lists it as uncharacterized. The transcript has 3 exons. Lineage: Eukaryota; Metazoa; Chordata; Chondrichthyes; Myliobatiformes; Myliobatidae. The record is from RefSeq and is a predicted model, not a curated record.
UCAAUGAACAGACAUCUCUGGAGAGAAAUUUGAAGCCACAAUCAUCUGACGCUUAAGUGCUGCUGCUGGGACGUUGUUGAUUCUGAGUAGCAUCAGUGACUUUUUGUUUGUUUGCUCUUCUCGUCUGACUGGGGUGAAGGAAAAAGGAAAGCAGCAAUCCAUCUGCAAUCCCUGCCUCUGGUUUGCUCAGCAAACAAAGAGCAGGAAUGAAGCUUAAUACUUACUGACUUCGCUAAUGAGCUGUCAGGCUGAAACUGCAAUUUCACUGGCGAUGUGAAACUGCACAGUCAUGAAGUUCUAUCUUCAGAGUUAUUAUGGCAAAGGUCAAUUAUAAAAACCACAAAGAGGAAGGGUUCCAGAACAGAUCCCUGCAGACACCACUGGUUACCGGCCUCCAUGCAGAAUACGAACCAUCUACAACCACCCUUUUCCUUCUGUGGGCAAGCCAAUGGAGUUAAAUUGACUUUAUAUCUUACAUCCUUCA